This 99-nucleotide microRNA precursor is filed under the name Physcomitrium patens. RNAcentral's name for it is "Physcomitrella patens miR160a stem-loop (ppt-MIR160a)". Its record names the gene ppt-MIR160a. The record is from miRBase by way of RNAcentral. Lineage: Eukaryota; Viridiplantae; Streptophyta; Bryopsida; Funariales; Funariaceae.
GGAGUGGAACUGCCUGGCUCCCUGUAUGCCACCUGCGGGGCUUGCCAAAGUGAUUGUCGAGCUGCAUAGCUGGCAUCCAGGGAGCCAGACAGACCUCCU